This 508-nucleotide ribosomal RNA is filed under the name uncultured bacterium. RNAcentral describes it as "bacterial SSU rRNA". It matches the Rfam family "Bacterial small subunit ribosomal RNA", at positions 8 to 525 of the family's 1533-position model. The record is from RNAcentral.
AGAGUUUGAUCCUGGCUCAGGACGAACGCUGGCGGCGUGCUUAACACGUGCAAGUCGAACGGUGAUGAUGGGAGCUUGCUUCUGUCUGAUCAGUGGCGAACGGGUGAGUAACACGUGAGUAACCUGCCCCAGACUCUGGGAUAACCCCGGGAAACCGGAGCUAAUACCGGAUAUGACAYCAAUCCGCAUGGGUAUGGUGUGGAAAGUUUUUCGGUCUGGGAUGGACUCGCGGCCUAUCAGCUUGUUGGUGAGGUAGUGGCUCAYCAAGGCGACGACGGGUAGCCGGCCUGRGAGGGCGACCGGCCACACUGGGACUGAGACACGGCCCAGACUCCUACGGGAGGCAGCAGUGGGGAAUAUUGCACAAUGGGCGCAAGCCUGAUGCAGCGACGCCGCGUGAGGGAUGACGGCCUUCGGGUUGUAAACCUCUUUCAGCAGGGAAGAAGCGAAAGUGACGGUACCUGCAGAAGAAGCACCGGCUAACUACGUGCCAGCAGCCGCGGUAAUA